AAACGUAGGUGGCAAGCGUUGUCCGGAUUUACUGGGUGUAAAGGGAGCGCAGGCGGAUCGUCAAGUCAAAUGUGAAAUGCAGGGGCUCAACCCCUGAACUGCGUUUGAUACUGAAGGUCUUGAGUGGAGUAGGGGCAGGCGGAAUUCCCGGUGUAGCGGUGGAAUGCGUAGAUAUCGGGAGGAAUCCCGGUAGCGAAGGCGGCCUUCUGGGCUCUAACUGACGCGGAGGCUAGAAAGCGCGGGGAGCAACCAGGAUUAGAUACCCUGGUAGUCCACGCCCUAAACGAUGCUUACUAGGUGUGGGGGGACUGACCCCCUCCGUGCCGUAGUUAACACAAUAAGUAAGCCACCUGGGGAGUACGACAGCAAGGUUGAAACUCAAAUGAAUUGACGGGG
RNAcentral lists this ribosomal RNA (396 nucleotides) under uncultured bacterium. Its description in RNAcentral is "partial 16S ribosomal RNA". It matches the Rfam family "Bacterial small subunit ribosomal RNA", at positions 523 to 918 of the family's 1533-position model. The record is from RNAcentral.